GGGAAGUUGAAUGAAUGGUUUGAACCCCAGAAUCCAGACAAAUAACACAGAAAUCUAUGACCAAAAGAAAGUUGAGAUGCUCCUAUGGAUCUGUGUAUUGCGAAAUUGAAAGAUAACAGUUUGCGUGUGUUUUAGUGUAUCUGAAAAGCUUCCAGAGGCAGGCUGUGGCAGAGACUGAGCUAAAGACGACAAAGCAAUAGGCCCCAUUAGCCGGAAUGGGUCUUUGGCUCUUUGCUCCCCACCAUCUACAUCUAUACUUCCGCUGCAUGAUUACUUAGAUUUUAUGACUCAAAUUCAUAGUUGUUGUGACUGUUUGAUAAUCUAAUGAAAACCAACACAGGCCGGUUUGUUCGCUUUGGACGGUAAGGGUAUUGAUGACCUCGUUUCACCACUCUCACGAAAGAGUUGAAAGCGCCUGGUUUUUCAGGCGUUUGGUUUGUUACAGUCGAUGCUGAAGCAGACUUGUUGCGACCUUGUGCUUAUGUUUC
This 488-nucleotide long non-coding RNA is filed under the name Gossypium barbadense (sea-island cotton). RNAcentral's name for it is "long non-coding RNA (GBAR_LNC021620)". Lineage: Eukaryota; Viridiplantae; Streptophyta; Magnoliopsida; Malvales; Malvaceae. The record is from RNAcentral.